RNAcentral lists this ribosomal RNA (1476 nucleotides) under Triticum aestivum (bread wheat). RNAcentral's name for it is "partial small subunit ribosomal RNA". The record is from RNAcentral. Lineage: Eukaryota; Viridiplantae; Streptophyta; Magnoliopsida; Poales; Poaceae.
AUGGCGUCGAUGGCGUCGAUCCCGUCUGACGAGGUCUCCGAGAACGGCCACGGCAACGGAAACGGCCCAUCCCCGCCGCGCGCCAAGCGCCCCCGCGCAGCGUUGAUCUCGGCCGCCCAGAUCCGCGACGAGUUCGCGCAUCACGACCCCGCAGUUGCCCGCGUCAACAACGGCAGCUUCGGCUGCUGCCCGGCCUCCGUGCUCGAAGCGCAGGCGCGCUGGCAGCGCCUCUUCCUCGCUCAGCCCGACGCCUUCUACUUCGACGGCCUUCAGCCGGGGCUCCGCCGCUCCCGCGCAGCCGUCGCGGCCCUUGUCAACGCUGGGGACGUCUCCGAGAUUUCCCUCGUCGACAACGCUACCACCGCUGCUGCAAUCGUGCUGCAGCAUGCCGCCUGGAGCUUUGCCGAGGGGCACUUCGCUCGUGGCGACGCUGUGCUCAUGCUCCAUUACGCCUACGGAGCAGUAAAGAAAUCUAUCCAGGCCUACGUUGCCCGCGCGGGCGCCACUGUCGUCGAGGUACCCCUCCCGUUCCCGGUCACCUCCCCUGACGCCAUUAUUGCGGAGUUCCAUGCUGCGCUCGCUGUUGCCAAGGCCGGUGGUCGUAAGGUCCGGCUUGCUGUCAUUGAUCACAUCACCUCCAUGCCCAGUGUUCUCAUUCCAGUCAAGGAGCUAGUUGCCAUUUGUCGCCAUGAGGGUGUCGACAAAGUUUUUGUUGAUGCUGCACACUCUGUUGGGCAAGUCCCUGUCGAUGUGCGAGACAUUGGGGCGGAUUUCUACACUAGCAACCUCCACAAGUGGUUCUUUUGCCCCCCGGCCGUGGCUUUCUUACACACCCGCAAGGGUGGCCCGAUAACCUCUCAGCUCCACCACCCUGUUGUGUCACAUGAAUAUGGCAACGGGCUACCUAUGGAGAGUGGAUGGAUUGGGACACGGGAUUACAGUGCCCAGAUCGUCGUUCCUGAAGCUAUUCACUUUGUGAACCGAUUUGAAGGUGGGAUUGAGGGGAUACGCAGCCGGAACCAUGAGAAGGUAAUUGAGAUGGGGAGGAUGCUUGCCGAAGCAUGGGGGACAGUUCUUGGAUCACCUCCAGUAAUGUGUGGAAGCAUGGCUAUGGUAGGGAUGCCUAGUUGUCUUUGCAUUGAGAGUGACGAUGAUGCACUGAGAGUGCGGACCAUGUUGAGGAAGGAUUUCAAAGUUGAGGUGCCUAUAUACUACAAUAGCAGACAGGUUAAAGUGCAAGAGAUGGCAAAGGAUAAUAGUAGUGAUCCAGUGACGGGGUAUGUAAGAAUCUCACACCAGGUUUACAAUGUCAAGGAGGAGUAUGAGAGGCUGAGAGAUGCUGUCAAUAAGCUUGUUGCUGAGGGGUUCACCAGUGCCGAAUUGAGGCCAGCUGAGAAGAUAAUAUAUUCCACUGAAGUUUGGACCGUGGCAUCUACCAUUUUUACGGUGCUUGUACUAGCCAAAGAUGCACCGUAA